GGGUUGUGAGGUUAAGCGACUAAGCGUACACGGUGGAUGCCCUGGCAGUCAGAGGCGAUGAAGGACGUGCUAAUCUGCGAUAAGCGUCGGUAAGGUGAUAUGAACCGUUAUAACCGGCGAUUUCCGAAUGGGGAAACCCAGUGUGUUUCGACACACUAUCAUUAACUGAAUCCAUAGGUUAAUGAGGCGAACCGGGGGAACUGAAACAUCUAAGUACCCGAGGAAAAGAAAUCAACCGAGAUUCCCCCAGUAGCGGCGAGCGAACGGGGAGCAGCCCAGAGCCUGAAUCAGUAUGUGUGUUAGUGGAAGCGUCUGGAAAGGCGCGCGAUACAGGGUGACAGCCCCGUACACAAAAAUGCACAUGCUGUGAGCUCGAUGAGUAGGGCGGGACACGUGGUAUCCUGUCUGAAUAUGGGGGGACCAUCCUCCAAGGCUAAAUACUCCUGACUGACCGAUAGUGAACCAGUACCGUGAGGGAAAGGCGAAAAGAACCCCGGCGAGGGGAGUGAAAAAGAACCUGAAACCGUGUACGUACAAGCAGUGGGAGCACGCUUAGGCGUGUGACUGCGUACCUUUUGUAUAAUGGGUCAGCGACUUAUAUUCUGUAGCAAGGUUAACCGAAUAGGGGAGCCGAAGGGAAACCGAGUCUUAACUGGGCGUUAAGUUGCAGGGUAUAGACCCGAAACCCGGUGAUCUAGCCAUGGGCAGGUUGAAGGUUGGGUAACACUAACUGGAGGACCGAACCGACUAAUGUUGAAAAAUUAGCGGAUGACUUGUGGCUGGGGGUGAAAGGCCAAUCAAACCGGGAGAUAGCUGGUUCUCCCCGAAAGCUAUUUAGGUAGCGCCUCGUGAAUUCAUCUCCGGGGGUAGAGCACUGUUUCGGCAAGGGGGUCAUCCCGACUUACCAACCCGAUGCAAACUGCGAAUACCGGAGAAUGUUAUCACGGGAGACACACGGCGGGUGCUAACGUCCGUCGUGAAGAGGGAAACAACCCAGACCGCCAGCUAAGGUCCCAAAGUCAUGGUUAAGUGGGAAACGAUGUGGGAAGGCCCAGACAGCCAGGAUGUUGGCUUAGAAGCAGCCAUCAUUUAAAGAAAGCGUAAUAGCUCACUGGUCGAGUCGGCCUGCGCGGAAGAUGUAACGGGGCUAAACCAUGCACCGAAGCUGCGGCAGCGACGCUUAUGCGUUGUUGGGUAGGGGAGCGUUCUGUAAGCCUGUGAAGGUGUACUGUGAGGUAUGCUGGAGGUAUCAGAAGUGCGAAUGCUGACAUAAGUAACGAUAAAGCGGGUGAAAAGCCCGCUCGCCGGAAGACCAAGGGUUCCUGUCCAACGUUAAUCGGGGCAGGGUGAGUCGACCCCUAAGGCGAGGCCGAAAGGCGUAGUCGAUGGGAAACAGGUUAAUAUUCCUGUACUUGGUGUUACUGCGAAGGGGGACGGAGAAGGCUAUGUUGGCCGGGCGACGGUUGUCCCGGUUUAAGCGUGUAGGCUGGUUUUCCAGGCAAAUCCGGAAAAUCAAGGCUGAGGCGUGAUGACGAGGCACUACGGUGCUGAAGCAACAAAUGCCCUGCUUCCAGGAAAAGCCUCUAAGCAUCAGGUAACAUCAAAUCGUACCCCAAACCGACACAGGUGGUCAGGUAGAGAAUACCAAGGCGCUUGAGAGAACUCGGGUGAAGGAACUAGGCAAAAUGGUGCCGUAACUUCGGGAGAAGGCACGCUGAUAUGUAGGUGAAGCGACUUGCUCGUGGAGCUGAAAUCAGUCGAAGAUACCAGCUGGCUGCAACUGUUUAUUAAAAACACAGCACUGUGCAAACACGAAAGUGGACGUAUACGGUGUGACGCCUGCCCGGUGCCGGAAGGUUAAUUGAUGGGGUCAGCGCAAGCGAAGCUCUUGAUCGAAGCCCCGGUAAACGGCGGCCGUAACUAUAACGGUCCUAAGGUAGCGAAAUUCCUUGUCGGGUAAGUUCCGACCUGCACGAAUGGCGUAAUGAUGGCCAGGCUGUCUCCACCCGAGACUCAGUGAAAUUGAACUCGCUGUGAAGAUGCAGUGUACCCGCGGCAAGACGGAAAGACCCCGUGAACCUUUACUAUAGCUUGACACUGAACAUUGAGCCUUGAUGUGUAGGAUAGGUGGGAGGCUUUGAAGUGUGGACGCCAGUCUGCAUGGAGCCGACCUUGAAAUACCACCCUUUAAUGUUUGAUGUUCUAACGUGGACCCGUAAUCCGGGUUGCGGACAGUGUCUGGUGGGUAGUUUGACUGGGGCGGUCUCCUCCUAAAGAGUAACGGAGGAGCACGAAGGUUGGCUAAUCCUGGUCGGACAUCAGGAGGUUAGUGCAAUGGCAUAAGCCAGCUUGACUGCGAGCGUGACGGCGCGAGCAGGUGCGAAAGCAGGUCAUAGUGAUCCGGUGGUUCUGAAUGGAAGGGCCAUCGCUCAACGGAUAAAAGGUACUCCGGGGAUAACAGGCUGAUACCGCCCAAGAGUUCAUAUCGACGGCGGUGUUUGGCACCUCGAUGUCGGCUCAUCACAUCCUGGGGCUGAAGUAGGUCCCAAGGGUAUGGCUGUUCGCCAUUUAAAGUGGUACGCGAGCUGGGUUUAGAACGUCGUGAGACAGUUCGGUCCCUAUCUGCCGUGGGCGCUGGAGAACUGAGGGGGCUGCUCCUAGUACGAGAGGACCGGAGUGGACGCAUCACUGGUGUUCGGGUUGUCAUGCCAAUGGCACUGCCCGGUAGCUAAAUGCGGAAGAGAUAAGUGCUGAAAGCAUCUAAGCACGAAACUUGCCCCGAGAUGAGUUCUCCCUGACUCCUUGAGAGUCCUGAAGGAACGUUGAAGACGACGACGUUGAUAGGCCGGGUGUGUAAGCGCAGCGAUGCGUUGAGCUAACCGGUACUAAUGAACCGUGAGGCUUAACCUUACAACGCCGAAGCUGUU
This 2927-nucleotide ribosomal RNA is filed under the name Escherichia coli O104:H4. RNAcentral's name for it is "bacterial LSU rRNA". It matches the Rfam family "Bacterial large subunit ribosomal RNA". The record is from RNAcentral. Lineage: Bacteria; Pseudomonadati; Pseudomonadota; Gammaproteobacteria; Enterobacterales; Enterobacteriaceae.